This 1483-nucleotide ribosomal RNA is filed under the name uncultured bacterium. RNAcentral's name for it is "bacterial SSU rRNA". It matches the Rfam family "Bacterial small subunit ribosomal RNA". The record is from RNAcentral.
AGAGUUUGAUCCUGGCUCAGAAUCAACGCUGGCGGCGUGCCUAACACAUGCAAGUCGGACGCGAAAGGGGGCUUCGGCCCUUGAGUAGAGUGGCGGACGGGUGAGUAACACGUGGGUGACCUGCCCGGCUGAGGGGGAUAACUUCUCGAAAGGGAAGCUAAUACCGCAUGCGCUCCUGGAAGCGAUUUUAGGAGGAAAGCCGAAAGGCGCAGCUGGAGGGGCCCGCGCUCGAUUAGCUGGUUGGUGAGGUAACGGCUCACCAAGGCGACGAUCGAUAGCCGGUCUGAGAGGACGGACGGCCACACUGGAACUGAGACACGGUCCAGACUCCUACGGGAGGCAGCAGUGGGGAAUUUUGCGCAAUGGGCGAAAGCCUGACGCAGCAACGCCGCGUGGAGGAUGAAGGUUUUCGGAUCGUAAACUCCUGUCCCCAGGGAAGAAGAAAGUGACGGUACCUGGGGAGGAAGCCCCGGCUAACUCCGUGCCAGCAGCCGCGGUAAUACGGGGGGGGCAAGCGUUGUUCGGAAUUACUGGGCGUAAAGGGCGCGUAGGCGGCCUGGGAAGUUCUGGGUGAAAGCCCCCGGCUCAACCGGGGAAGUGCCUGGAAAACCACUGGGCUGGAGUGCUGGAGAGGGAAGCGGAAUUCCUGGUGUAGCGGUGAAAUGCGUAGAGAUCAGGAGGAACAUCGGCGGCGAAGGCGGCUUCCUGGACAGACACUGACGCUGAGGCGCGAAAGCCAGGGGAGCAAACAGGAUUAGAUACCCUGGUAGUCCUGGCUGUAAACGAUGACGACUUGGUGUGGGGGGUAGCAAAGUCCCUCCGUGCCGGCGAUAACUCGUUAAGUCGUCCGCCUGGGGAGUACGGCCGCAAGGCUGAAACUCAAAGGAAUUGACGGGGGCCCGCACAAGCGGUGGAGUAUGUGGUUUAAUUCGACGCAACGCGAAGAACCUUACCGGGGUUUGAACUUCACGGGACGGGUCUAGAGAUAGGUCUUUCCCUUCGGGGACUCGUGGAGAGGUGCUGCAUGGCUGUCGUCAGCUCGUGUCGUGAGAUGUUGGGUUAAGUCCUGCAACGAGCGCAACCCUUGUCUGUAGUUGCUACCAGGUGAAGCUGAGCACCCUACAGAGACUGUCGGCGAAAAGCCGGAGGAAGGUGGGGAUGACGUCAAGUCCUCAUGGCCUUUAUGCCCCGGGCUACACACGUACUACAAUGGGCGGUACAAAGGGCAGCCAACUCGCGAGAGUGUGCGAAUCCCAAAAAACCGUCCUCAGUUCGGAUUGCAGUCUGCAACUCGACUGCAUGAAGGUGGAAUCGCUAGUAAUCACGGAUCAGCAGGCCGUGGUGAAUACGUUCCCGGGCCUUGUACACACCGCCCGUCACAUCACGAAAGUGGGUUGUACUAGAAGUCGCCGGGCUAACCCUUCGGGGGGGCAGGCGCCCACGGUAUGAUUCAUGAUUGGGGUGAAGUCGUAACAAGGUAACC